GAGCACGUAGGUGGGUUUGUAAGUCAGAUGUGAAAGCCUUCUGUUCACGGAAGAAUUGCAUCUGAAACUGCAAGUCUCGAGUGUAGGAGGGGAGAAUGGAACUUCUGGUGGAGCGGUGAAAUGCGUAGAUAUCAGAAGGAACGCCGGCGGCGAAAGCGAUUCUCUGGCCUAUUACUGACACUCAGUGUGCGAAAGCUAGGGGAGCAAACGGGAUUAGAUACCCCGGUAGUCCUAGCCGUAAACGAUGGGCACUAAGUAGAGGGAAUUACCGAUGUUCUCUCUGCCGUAGCUAACGCAUUAAGUGCCCCGCCUGGGGAGUACGGCCGCAAGGCUAAAACUCAAAAGAAUUGACGGGGGCUCGCACAAGCGGUGGAGCAUGUGGCUUAAUUCGAUGCAACGCGAAAAACCUUACCGGGGCUUGACAUGGUAGAAGUAGGAACCCGAAAGGGUAACGAACGGUAUCCAGUCCGUAGCUAUCACAGGUGUUGCAUGGCUGUCGUCAGCUCGUGUCGUGAGACGUUGGGUUAAGUCCCCUAACGAGCGAAACCCUUGUUUUUAGUUACCAGCGGGUUAUGCCGGGUACUCUAGAAAGACUGCCGUCGUCAAGACGGAGGAAGGUGGGGAUGACGUCAAGUCAUCAUGGCCCUUAUGCCCCGGGCUGCACACGUGCUACAAUGGUCGGUACAAACGGAUGCGAAGCCGAGAGGUGAAGCGAAUCC
This 719-nucleotide ribosomal RNA is filed under the name uncultured anaerobic ammonium-oxidizing bacterium. RNAcentral describes it as "bacterial SSU rRNA". It matches the Rfam family "Bacterial small subunit ribosomal RNA", at positions 565 to 1274 of the family's 1533-position model. The record is from RNAcentral.